UGAGGAAUAUUGGUCAAUGGAGGAAACUCUGAACCAGCCAAGUCGCGUGAAGGAAGAAUGUCCUAAGGAUUGUAAACUUCUUUAGCGAGCGAGUAAGGACUUCCACGUGAUGGGAGUUUGAAAGUAGCUCGAGAAUAAGUAUCGGCUAACUCCGUGCCAGCAGCCGCGGUAAUACGGAGGAUACGAGCGUUAUCCGGAUUUAUUGGGUUUAAAGGGUGCGCAGGUGGUCCUGCAAGUCAGUGGUGAAAAGCUGAGGCUCAACCUCAGCCUUGCCUUUGAAACUGCAAGACUUGAGAGUACAUGAUGUGGGCGGAAUGCGUAGUGUAGCGGUGAAAUGCAUAGAUAUUACGCAGAACUCCGAUUGCGAAGGCAGCUCACAAAGGUAUGUCUGACACUGAGGCACGAAAGCGUGGGGAGCAAACAGG
This 425-nucleotide ribosomal RNA is filed under the name Fusobacteriota bacterium. Its description in RNAcentral is "Fusobacteria bacterium partial 16S ribosomal RNA". It matches the Rfam family "Bacterial small subunit ribosomal RNA", at positions 355 to 776 of the family's 1533-position model. The record is from RNAcentral. Lineage: Bacteria; Fusobacteriati; Fusobacteriota.